UAGGGAAUCUUCCACAAUGGACGAAAGUCUGAUGAAGCAACGCCGCGUGAGUGAAGAAGGGUUUCGGCUCGUAAAACUCUGUUGUUAAAGAAGAACAUAUCUGAGAGUAACUGUUCAGGUAUUGACGGUAUUUAACCAGAAAGCCACGGCUAACUACGUGCCAG
RNAcentral lists this ribosomal RNA (164 nucleotides) under uncultured bacterium. RNAcentral's name for it is "partial 16S rRNA". It matches the Rfam family "Bacterial small subunit ribosomal RNA", at positions 355 to 511 of the family's 1533-position model. The record is from RNAcentral.